GACGAACGCUGGCGGCGCGCCUAACACAUGCAAGUCGAACGGAGCUGAGAGAAGCUUGCUUUUCUUAGCUUAGUGGCGAACGGGUGAGUAACGCGUGAGUAACCUGCCCUGGAGUGGGGGACAACAGUUGGAAACGACUGCUAAUACCGCAUAAGCCCACGAUCCGGCAUCGGAUUGAGGGAAAAGGAGUUAUUCGCUUCAGGAUGGACUCGCGUCCAAUUAGCUAGUUGGUGAGGUAACGGCCCACCAAGGCGACGAUUGGUAGCCGGACUGAGAGGUUGAACGGCCACAUUGGGACUGAGACACGGCCCAGACUCCUACGGGAGGCAGCAGUGGGGGAUAUUGCACAAUGGGGGAAACCCUGAUGCAGCGACGCCGCGUGGAGGAAGAAGGUUUUCGGAUUGUAAACUCCUGUCGUUAGGGACGAUAAUGACGGUACCUAACAAGAAAGCACCGGCUAACUACGUG
RNAcentral lists this ribosomal RNA (468 nucleotides) under uncultured bacterium. Its description in RNAcentral is "partial 16S ribosomal RNA". It matches the Rfam family "Bacterial small subunit ribosomal RNA", at positions 28 to 507 of the family's 1533-position model. The record is from RNAcentral.